UACGGGGGGGGCAAGCGUUGUUCGGAAUUACUGGGCGUAAAGGGCUCGUAGGCGGCCAACGAAGGCGGAUGUGAAAUCCCCAGGCUUAACCUGGGAAUUGCAUCCGAUACUGGAUGGCUUGAAUCCGGGAGAGGGAUGCGGAAUUCCAGGUGUAGCGGUGAAAUGCGUAGAUAUCUGGAGGAACACCGGUGGCGAAGGCGGCAUCCUGGACCGACACUGACACUGAGGAGCGAAAGCCAGGGGAGCAAACGGG
RNAcentral lists this ribosomal RNA (253 nucleotides) under uncultured bacterium. Its description in RNAcentral is "partial 16S ribosomal RNA". It matches the Rfam family "Bacterial small subunit ribosomal RNA", at positions 524 to 776 of the family's 1533-position model. The record is from RNAcentral.